GCGGACGUAGCUCAGUUGGUUAGAGCGCCAGGUUGUGGUCCUGGAUGUCGGGGGUUCGAGUCCCCUCGUUCGCCCCA
Molecule: transfer RNA, 77 nt
Filed under: Dongia sedimenti
Lineage: Bacteria; Pseudomonadati; Pseudomonadota; Alphaproteobacteria; Rhodospirillales; Dongiaceae
Also listed under: 1 other name
Description: Rhodospirillaceae bacterium R-7 tRNA-His
Rfam family: tRNA
About the family: Transfer RNA (tRNA) molecules are approximately 80 nucleotides in length. Their secondary structure includes four short double-helical elements and three loops (D, anti-codon, and T loops).
Source: RNAcentral